AUACGUAGGUGACAAGCGUUAUCCGGAUUUACUGGGCGUAAAGGGCGUGUAGGCGGUCUUGCAAGUCAGAAGUGAAAUUCCUGAGCUCAACUCGGGCGCUGCUUCUGAAACUGCAGGACUUGAGUGCUGGAGGGGAUAGCGGAAUUCCUAGUGGAGCGGUAAAAUGCGCAGAUAUUAGGAAGAACACCGGUGGCGAAGGCGGCUAUCUGGACAGUAACUGACGCUGAGGCGCGAAAGCGUGGGGAGCAAACAGGAUUAGAUACCCUGGUAGUCCACGCUGUAAACGAUGGAUACUAGGUGUAGGGGGUAUCGACUCCCUCUGUGCCGCAGUUAACACAAUAAGUAUUCCGCCUGGGGAGUACGGCCGCAAGGUUGAAACUCAAAUGAAUUGGCGGGG
This 397-nucleotide ribosomal RNA is filed under the name uncultured bacterium. RNAcentral describes it as "partial 16S ribosomal RNA". It matches the Rfam family "Bacterial small subunit ribosomal RNA", at positions 523 to 918 of the family's 1533-position model. The record is from RNAcentral.